Molecule: small RNA, 268 nt
Filed under: Castor canadensis (American beaver)
Lineage: Eukaryota; Metazoa; Chordata; Mammalia; Rodentia; Castoridae
Description: 7SK RNA (ENSCCNG00000001056.1)
Rfam family: 7SK RNA
About the family: 7SK was discovered as an abundant small nuclear RNA in the mid-70s but a possible function has only recently been suggested. Two independent studies have found that 7SK RNA binds the CDK9/cyclin T complex (known as elongation factor P-TEFb). P-TEFb activates transcription by phosphorylating the C-terminal domain of RNA polymerase II.
Source: RNAcentral
AGAUAUGAGGCUAUCUGGUUGCAACAUCUAUCACUCCAUAGACCACCAGAGUUGAUUCAGCUGACCUGGCUGCCCAGGUAGGUGUCCCCUUCCUUCCUCACUGCUCCAUGUGCGCCUCUGCUGAAGCUUGGUUGAAGAGGAUGACUGUUUCUGGUAGAGUAAGACCAAUUCUUCGGUCAAGGGUAUACAAGGGUUCCAGCUCCCCUGCUGGAACAAGCUCUCCAUAAACAUACUUAUUAUAUUCUGAUGCUGCCCCAAGAAUGGUUAA